AGCGAACGCUGGCGGCAGGCCUAACACAUGCAAGUCGAACGAACUCUUCGGAGUUAGUGGCGGACGGGUGAGUAACACGUGGGAACGUGCCUUUUGGUUCGGAAUAACUCAGGGAAACUUGUGCUAAUACCGAAUGUGCCCUUCGGGGGAAAGAUUUAUCGCCAUUAGAGCGGCCCGCGUCUGAUUAGCUAGUUGGUGAGGUAACGGCUCACCAAGGCGACGAUCAGUAGCUGGUCUGAGAGGAUGACCAGCCACACUGGGACUAAGACACGGCCCAGACUCCUACGGGAGGCAGCAGUGGGGAAUCUUGCGCAAUGGGCGAAAGCCUGACGCAGCCAUGCCGCGUGAAUGAUGAAGGUCUUAGGAUUGUAAAAUUCUUUCACCGGGGACGAUAAUGACGGUACCCGGAGAAGAAGCCCCGGCUAACUUCGUG
RNAcentral lists this ribosomal RNA (433 nucleotides) under uncultured bacterium. RNAcentral describes it as "partial 16S ribosomal RNA". It matches the Rfam family "Bacterial small subunit ribosomal RNA", at positions 29 to 507 of the family's 1533-position model. The record is from RNAcentral.